CCCUCGAGCUGUAUGCGGAGAGAAAAAGGCCCGAGUUUUCUUCUGUGUUCUAGAAGCCUAUAUCGACUACAAGCUUCGUUCCAUUUUCGGUUUUGUUCUCGGAUACAGACGCGGCGUGAAACGGAGUUAUCAAGCGUAUCGAUCAAGCUCUCAGGUAUAAAGGUCGCUGGGGUAGCAGAGAGAAGGGGAGAGAUCUAAGAUUUUCGUCCAAGCUUCGGGUCGUUAGGGUGGCAAAAAGAAGGGGAGGGAUCGAAGAUUGUGGUCGACGUCCGGAGGAAGGUUGAAAAAGAGUGGGGGCGUUUCUCAGUUCGUGUAUAGUGUGUGCUUAAUCUAGAAGUUGUACAUAUUGAAGGAGCGGGGAUUUGCUUAAGAAUCAUAAGCAGUUGUGUCUUUGAAGGGCUGGUUGGAUAUCUCUGCGAGGUAGGCUUGGGUUCGUUUUGGAAGAGGUGUGUGCUGAGAUUGUGAUCGAGUUUAGGAGACGGGCUUUGGGAGCAAAAGAGGGUGCAGUGGAGAAACUUCGCCAAUGCUGCCUUGAAGAAAUUUGAGAUUACAAGCAUGGUGGAAAAGACCACUAAAGGUAGGAGAAUGAUGGAGGAAUUACAAAGAUACACUUUAAUUCAGUUAAGAAAAACAAAACCCCCGCAGCAUCGCGCGGGAAUGAUUAUCUAGUUUUAUAUACUAAAGUAAAAUGGGUUUGAUACUAUUCAUUCAAUAGUGACGGGACCAUUUUACCCUUGCAUUCUUUGGAAUUUUAUUAAACUAGAAUGUGUUUGGUACUAUUCAUUUAAUAGUAACCGGAUCAUUUUGGCCCUGCUUUCUUUGGAAAUUUACCUGAUUACUCUUGACAAGUGUCCGUCUUAUGUGUUACUAAGUUGUUUCAUAGG
Long non-coding RNA from Rosa rugosa (rugosa rose), 884 nucleotides. RefSeq lists it as uncharacterized. NCBI's taxonomy places the organism in Eukaryota, Viridiplantae, Streptophyta, Magnoliopsida, Rosales, Rosaceae. The transcript is spliced from 7 exons. The record is from RefSeq and is a predicted model, not a curated record.